RNAcentral lists this ribosomal RNA (291 nucleotides) under uncultured prokaryote. Its description in RNAcentral is "partial 16S ribosomal RNA". It matches the Rfam family "Bacterial small subunit ribosomal RNA", at positions 338 to 643 of the family's 1533-position model. The record is from RNAcentral.
CCUACGGGUGGUUGCAGUGGGGAAUAUUGGGCAAUGGGCGCAAGCCUGACCCAGCAACGCCGCGUGAAGGACGAAGGCCUUCGGGUUGUAAACUUCUUUGAUCAGGGACGAAAAAAAUGACGGUACCUGAAGAACAAUCCACGGCUAACUACGUGCCAGCAGCCGCGGUAAUACGUAGGUGGCGAGCGUUAUCCGGAUUUACUGGGUGUAAAGGGCGUGUAGGCGGGUCUGCAAGUCGGAUGUGAAAUUCCCGGGCUUAACUCGGGCGGGUCAUCCGAAACUGCGGAUCUU